UCCUCGCUGUCUGUUCUCUGUUGGCGGAGCGUGGCCGGCGCUGCUCGGCUCCCUCCUGCCCGCGCGGCCGCCGGAGUCUGCCUCCGCGGUUGCCGCCGGAGUUCGCCUCGCAGAUGCCACCUGCGCUGCUGACAUGAACAUUUGGGCUGAUCGCUCCCGCCCGUGGCCGGUGGAGCGCGGCUCGCUCCUGCCCGCGCUACUCCCGCCUGUGGUCGCCGGAGCGCGUCGGCUCCUACUCGCGGCUGGCGAAGUGCGGCACCCACCUUCCAGCGGCUAGCAGAGCUUGUCCCGCGGCUGCUUAGCUCCCCAUCAUGUCGGAUGCUGAGGACCGCGCGUUCUCGGAGACCUGGCCGGAGCUCCGCGGCCGCCGGUACAAGGACCGGCUGCUGCGGUGCACAGCAACGCGAGUGCGCAGAGCUCAUUCAGCAGCAACAACGGUGCAGCUGCGUGGACACCCACUGAACAUGAAGCAAUGGCGCUGGAGUGGAACCGCAGUGUGCAGCACUAGCCGGGGGCGCAGACAACGGCGUGCCCUACUGAUGGACGACCGCGAGAUGUGGUGCAAGACGCGCUCUAGUGAACAAGCAGGAUGCACAUGGGAAGGACGGUGGCGAGAGCGGAGGGGCAACAGAGGCCAUGGGAGCGGAGGCCGAUGGAUGAGGGACGGCGGAGGACUUAGCAGAGGAUGCCGACGAUUGAGAAGAACGGGCAGAGCGAAGUCAACAGAGGCGGAGGACAGAGGCGCCCGGGAGAGGAAGGAUAAGGUGAGGGCAAUAUCGUAUUUUUGUGGGGGUUGUAAAACGAAAAAGAAGAGGAAAAUUAGAGAAAUUGAGAAAAAUGGAUGAAAACCCUUAAAUCGAAAGAAUUCACGUGCGGGAGGUUAUAUUUCAUAAAGUCUACGAAUUGAGUGUCAAAUUGCGUGAGGCAUGCGAAUUGAGUGUCAAAUAUCAAAAUUUCUCGCCCCCAACCAGCGUCAUCAGCGCCCCCGGCCCCCGCCCUCGCGCUUGCCGACCCCGGCCGCCCAACGCCACCGCCGAGGCGGGUCGGCCGCACGCAUCUGUCAGUGACGCAUUCCUCCCCGCCGAGCACGCCAGCGACGCCAUCCUGUCCCUCCCCGCCCGCAACGCCGACCCCAGCGCUGCCUGGUGGAGGAAUUCUUCAACACCUUGUCCAACAGGUGCUCGACUGAUUGCCUCAUCUAGAUUUUGUCUCUGCCAGAUUUGGCCGCGAGGGUCGUAGUGCCAACGCAGGGUCGGCUUGGACUUGUUCUUGGAACCGGCGGCCCCUCCGCUUUUCGGUGCGUCGAUGCCAGCGGACACCACCAGUACUACCCCACCACUUGCAGGCUCGUUCAGCUUGGCACUCCUGCAGCUCUGCACCUCAUCCGAGAAGCAGUCCAGGUGGUGCUGCUCACCACGGCCAGCCCUGGGGGUGCUGGUGGGAUGGCUACGGAAGCGUGGUGAAGCGGAUGGGCACCACGUCCAGCCAUGGCUGUACUGGUGGGAUGGCUGCGGCAGCGUGGUGAAGUGGAUGGGCACCACGUCUUUGCAAUCUUGCUACCAUGUCUGUUGCCAAGCGACAUGCGCUUGAUCCCAAGAAAGAGAGACACCGCAGAAAUCAUGCAGUACAAGCUGCAAAGAUGCACCCCUGCAUCCUCGCAUCUACAAGGGUAGUAACAAUAGCUACGUAUCCGUAGAUUGCUUGACCCCCACCUGCUUUUUAAUUAACCAGCAAUCACUCCAGCUAAUCAAUUUACUGCUACACUAUAUGUUAUGAAUGCUUGGGCUUUCGCGAAGUGAAUUCUGAACUGAACUGGCUUAAUGGAUUCCAUUGUGAUGUACUUAGGUAUGUAACAAUGGACGACCAUGUAAAAUGGCAUUAGAAAUUAAAAUUGGCUUCCUCUUAAAUUAUCCAAUCCGUUUCUCAUGUUAAGUGAUAAUAAAGAUUGCUCAAGCAUUUUAUUUUUGAAUAAAUAUCCCUAUUUCAGAUGAAUAUUGGAUUCCCUUCAAAUUUUGUGUGUUUAUUUAGUUGAGCAAGCACGGAAAUAGAUGGUUUAAUUAAUUUGUCAAUUGAUCAAAUUUUCAUACAUUUGAUAUUGUAGUGCUCUUUCAUGUAGGUUUGAGAAGCUACUAGAGUCAAGUAGCUUCAACAAGUUGAUUUCCAGUACAUUGAAUUGCCAAACUUCAAUAUUGCUUCUGAUGCUCUGAAUACUCUCAAGGUCAUGUUUGUAGUGGCAAGUCGAACUACAAGCACCAUCUGUUUAGUAUUGGCUACGGCAUGAUCCUGUGCUGUAUGAGGUGGAGAACGAAUCAAAGAUGAGCACACGAGGAAAGGGAACAGUGAAAGGUCGAAGAUGAUCAACGGCUACAUCUGGAGGCGGAAGAAAAAAAAAAUGAAUGUUGAAACAAAAUUCAUCCGGUUUAAUUUAAUGACCAACAUUUUUUUUUGAACCGAUUUAAUGACCAACAUUCAUGUCAUCACAAUAGAAUUGCAGGUAAAUGUGAUUGGAUUAUUGUAGAAGUCACUAAGGAAAGCAUAUUUGAUUGUUUCUUAUA
This is a long non-coding RNA of Panicum virgatum (switchgrass), 2555 nucleotides long. RefSeq lists it as uncharacterized. The record is from RefSeq and is a predicted model, not a curated record. The transcript is spliced from 3 exons. Lineage: Eukaryota; Viridiplantae; Streptophyta; Magnoliopsida; Poales; Poaceae.